Cyprinus carpio (common carp) is the source of this 1020-nucleotide long non-coding RNA. RefSeq lists it as uncharacterized. Lineage: Eukaryota; Metazoa; Chordata; Actinopteri; Cypriniformes; Cyprinidae. The transcript has 3 exons. The record is from RefSeq and is a predicted model, not a curated record.
AGAGAAAAACUCGUCGAAUGCAGACUUAUCGAGACGUCUAACCGUUGGAACAAACUUGGAAUUCCUUAACAGAGCAGAGUCCACGAAACCCCAUCCAUUUGUCAUGGCAAUUUGGAAAAUGCCAGCAGAUCUAUCAGACAUUGAUCAUAAUAAAUGGACAGGUCACCUUAGCCACCCGGAUCCAGUCUGUAUCCAGAUCAGAUGGUGGAUCAGCACCUAGAGAUGACCUCUACAGCCCUGAAUGUCAGUGGAGACCAGGGCAAUUAGAUGAGCCCCAGAGACAGAUCCCCAGUAAAGACCUUGUCUCCUAGAUGGACAUCGGCACAAGACAUUGGGAACCAGAUGAGGUCCACUGCACAAUCAGACUCUGCUGCAGCCUGGAAUUGAACUGCUGGUUUCGUCUGGCCAGAGGAGAACUUGCCCCCCAACUGAGUCUGAUUUCUCCCAAGAUUUUUUCUCAAUUCUAUCACCGAUGGAGUUUUGGUUCCUUGCCGCUGUUGCCUCUGGCUUGCUUAGUUGGGGACACUUAAUAUCCAGCGAUAUCGUCUACUUGAAUGCACAGCUGUACGAUAAAUCACUGAAUCAAUGAUGAACUGACUUUAACUGAAAAUUAAGUAUUUAGUGUUGUCCUUUUGCAUUAUUACACACUAUUUUCCUAUUUAAUACUGUAAAUCUGCUUUGACACUGUAUUUUUAAAUAUAACAGUGUGGAAAUUUCAGUAAUUUGCAAGGGACAACUUCUCACUUUGAGCACACGAAUGCGUGUCUCGUUUAUUUUAAAAGCAAAAACAGAAUACUCAAACAAUGGCGCUGACCGGCGUUUUACGUCAUCACGCAUUCCGAACAUUUAAAGGGACCACAAUCCCUGAACAGUUAUGCAGAACACAGUGUACAGAACUACACUUAACAAAGGUGAAUUAUGUCUGUCACAUUCACUACAACAGGCUCAUUACUCAUAAUACAUGGAAAAUACAGUGGCAAAUGGACUUUGCUUUUCCAUUUGAAAUUUGUCAGUCACUGU